This 24-nucleotide non-coding RNA is filed under the name Arabidopsis thaliana (thale cress). The record is from RNAcentral. Lineage: Eukaryota; Viridiplantae; Streptophyta; Magnoliopsida; Brassicales; Brassicaceae.
AGCAAACAUCUUAGCAUUAAAAGC